Molecule: ribosomal RNA, 460 nt
Filed under: uncultured bacterium
Lineage: Bacteria
Description: partial 16S ribosomal RNA
Rfam family: Bacterial small subunit ribosomal RNA
Source: RNAcentral
CCUACGGGAGGCAGCAGUGAGGAAUAUUGGUCAAUGGGCGCGAGCCUGAACCAGCCAAGUCGCGUGAGGGAUGAAGGUUCUAUGGAUCGUAAACCUCUUUUAUAAGGGAAUAAAGUGUGGGACGUGUCCUGUUUUGUAUGUACCUUAUGAAUAAGGAUCGGCUAACUCCGUGCCAGCAGCCGCGGUAAUACGGAGGAUCCGAGCGUUAUCCGGAUUUAUUGGGUUUAAGGGGUGCGUAGGCGGCCUUUUAAGUCAGCGGUGAAAGUCUGUGGCUCAACCAUAGAAUUGCCGUUGAAACUGGGAGGCUUGAGUAUGUUUGAGGCAGGCGGAAUGCGUGGUGUAGCGGUGAAAUGCUUAGAUAUCACGCAGAACCCCGAUUGCGAAGGCAGCCUGCCAAGCCAUGACUGACGCUGAUGCACGAAAGCGUGGGGAUCAAACAGGAUUAGAUACCCGUGUAGUC